GUAGGGUCCAAGCGUUAAUCGGGAAUUACUGGGGCGUAAAGCGUGCGCAGGCGGUUGUGCAAGACCGAUGUGAAAUCCCCGGGGCUUAACCUGGGGAAUUGCAUUGGUGACUGCACGGCUAGAGUGUGUCAGAGGGGGGUAGAAUUCCACGUGUAGCAGUGAAAUGCGUAGAGAUGUGGAGGAAUACCGAUGGCGAAGGCAGCCCCCUGGGAUAACACUGACGCUCAUGCACGAAAGCGUGGGGAGCAAACAGGAUUAGAUACCCUGGUAGUCCACGCCCUAAACGAUGUCAACUAGUUGUUGGGGAUUCAUUUCCUUAGUAACGUAGCUAACGCGUGAAGUUGACCGCCUGGGGAGUACGGUCGCAAAGAUUAA
Molecule: ribosomal RNA, 375 nt
Filed under: uncultured organism
Description: partial 16S ribosomal RNA
Rfam family: Bacterial small subunit ribosomal RNA
Source: RNAcentral